Oncorhynchus keta (chum salmon) is the source of this 1262-nucleotide long non-coding RNA. RefSeq lists it as uncharacterized. The transcript is spliced from 3 exons. The record is from RefSeq and is a predicted model, not a curated record. NCBI's taxonomy places the organism in Eukaryota, Metazoa, Chordata, Actinopteri, Salmoniformes, Salmonidae.
GGAAUCAUACAUGCUCUGGUAGGUUAGACAGGGAGGAAUCAUACAGGCUCUGGUAGGUUAGACAGGGAGGAAUCAUACAGGCUCUGGUAGGAUAGACAGGGAGGAAUCAUACAGGCUCUGGUAGGAUAGACAGGGAGGAAUCAUACAGGCUCUGGUAGGUUAGACAGGGAGGAAUCAUACAGGCUCUGGUAGGUUAGACAGGGAGGAAUCAUACAGGCUCUGGUAGGAUAGACAGGAAGGAAUCAUACAGGCUCUGGUAGGAUAGACAAGAAUGAAUCAUACAGGCUCUGGUAGGAUAGACAGGGAGGAAUUAUACAGGCUCUGGUAGGUUAGACAGGGAGGAAUCAUACAGGCUCUGGUAGGUUAGACAGGGAGGAAUCAUACAGGCUCUGGUAGGAUAGACAGGAAGGAAUCAUACAGGUUCUGGUAGGUUAGACAGGAAGGAAUCAUACAGGCUCUGGUAGGAUAGACAGGGAGGAAUCAUACAGGCUCUGGUAGGAUAGACAGGAAGGAAUCAUACAGGCUCUGGUAGGAUAGACAGGAAGGAAUCAUACAGGUUCUGGUAGGAUAGACAGGAAUGAAUCAUACAGGCUCUGGUAGGAUAGACAGGGAGGAAUCAUACAGGCUCUGGUAGGUUAGACAGGGAGGAAUCAUACAGGCUCUGGUAGGUUAGACAGGGAGGAAUCAUACAGGCUCUGGUAGGUUAGACAGGGAGGAAUCAUACAGGCUCUGGUAGGUUAGACAGGAAGGAAUCAUACAGGCUCUGGUAGGAUAGACAGGAAUGAAUCAUACAGGCUCUGGUAGGAUAGACAGGAAUGAAUCAUACAGGCUCUGGUAGGAUAGACAGGGAGGAAUCAUACAGGCUCUGGUAGGAUAGACAGGGAGGAAUCAUACAGGCUCUGGUAGGUUAGACAGGGAGGAAUCAUACAGGCUCUGGUAGGUUAGACAGGGAGGAAUCAUACAGGCUCUGGUAGGAUAGACAGGAAGGAAUCAUACAGGCUCUGGUAGGAUAGACAGGAAUGAAUCAUACAGGCUCUGGUAGGUUAGACAGGGAGGAAUCAUACAGGCUCUGGUAGGUUAGACAGGGAGGAAUCAUACAGGCUCUGGUAGGUUAGACAGGGAGGAAUCAUACAGGCUCUGGUAGGUUAGACAGGGAGGAAUCAUACAGGCUCUGGUAGGUUAGACAGGAAGGAAUCAUACAGGCUCUGGUAGGAUAGACAGGAAUGAAUCAUACAGGCUCUGGUAGGAUAGACAGGAAUGAA